Molecule: non-coding RNA, 85 nt
Filed under: Vibrio aestuarianus
Lineage: Bacteria; Pseudomonadati; Pseudomonadota; Gammaproteobacteria; Vibrionales; Vibrionaceae
Also listed under: 1 other name
Source: RNAcentral
AAUUAUGGUGGGCUGGGCAAGGCAGCUUCGGCUGGCCGUUUCUAUGUGUCGCGGUAGUACUAACCUUGUUCAGUUCACCACCCAU